Molecule: ribosomal RNA, 253 nt
Filed under: uncultured bacterium
Lineage: Bacteria
Description: partial 16S ribosomal RNA
Rfam family: Bacterial small subunit ribosomal RNA
Source: RNAcentral
UACGUAGGGCGCAAGCGUUGUCCGGAAUUAUUGGGCGUAAAGAGCUCGUAGGCGGCCUGUUGCGUCCGCUGUGAAAUCCCGGGGCUCAACCCCGGGCCUGCAGUGGAUACGGGCUGGCUAGAGGCAGGCAGGGGAGAACGGAAUUCCUGGUGUAGCGGUGAAAUGCGCAGAUAUCAGGAGGAACACCGGUGGCGAAAGCAGGUACCUGGACUAUUACUGACACUCAGCUGCGAAAGCUAGGGGAGCAAACAGG